RNAcentral lists this ribosomal RNA (374 nucleotides) under uncultured organism. RNAcentral describes it as "partial 16S ribosomal RNA". It matches the Rfam family "Bacterial small subunit ribosomal RNA", at positions 527 to 896 of the family's 1533-position model. The record is from RNAcentral.
GAACUGCGCGAACGUUAUUCGGAAUCACUGGGCUUAAAGAGUCCGUAGGCGGCUCGGUAGGUGAGGUGUGAAAUCCCACGGCUCAACCGUGGAAUAGCGCUUCAAACCACCGGGCUUGAGGGAGAUAGAGGAGAGCGGAACUGAUGGUGGAGCGGUGAAAUGCGUUGAUAUCAUCAGGAACACCGGUGGCGAAAGCGGCUCUCUGGGUCUCUUCUGACGCUGAGGGACGAAAGCUAGGGGAGCGAACGGGGGAUUAGAUACCCCGGUAGUCCUAGCCGUAAACGAUGAGCACUAGAUCGAGGGGACCCCCCACAUCCUCUUGGUCGUAGCGAAAGUGUUAAGUGCUCCGCCUGGGGAGUAUGGUCGCAAGGCUG